UGUCUGAUCACCACUUUCUCUCUUCCCCGCUCGCAGCCUGGAAGAACUUCUGACCACACAGUGCGACAGAUUCACCCCGGAAGAGAUCAAGAACAUGUGGGCAGCUUUUCCUCCAGAUGUGGCCGGGAACGUGGACUACAAGAACAUCUGCUACGUCAUUACACACGGUGAAGACAAAGAAGGGGAGUAAAUCCAUCAGGCCCCCCCAAAUUCCCCUGCCUCCCAUCCAGGGGGCUGGCGCUGUGGCGUCCCAUCCACCCACACACCCCAGGCUGGGAGCAUCUCCUCCACAUGACGCCAAAUCAGCUUCAGUUUUGGACCUCCAAACUGCAGACCCCACUUUUAUUUAUUGUGAUUUUGGGGUGGGGACCUGGGACCCCACAACUUUGCCCUUCCCCACCCUGCAGCCAGAGUCUUAAGAAACUGAUCAGGACCCGGGUCAAGAAUUGAGGGAAAAAAGUCUCAAUAAAGAUGAGGAAACCUGUUUUUAACUCU
Long non-coding RNA from Chelonoidis abingdonii (Abingdon island giant tortoise), 495 nucleotides. RefSeq lists it as uncharacterized. Lineage: Eukaryota; Metazoa; Chordata; Testudines; Testudinidae. The record is from RefSeq and is a predicted model, not a curated record.